This 497-nucleotide ribosomal RNA is filed under the name uncultured bacterium. RNAcentral's name for it is "partial 16S ribosomal RNA". It matches the Rfam family "Bacterial small subunit ribosomal RNA", at positions 29 to 523 of the family's 1533-position model. The record is from RNAcentral.
AACGAACGCUGGCGGCAGGCCUAAUACAUGCAAGUCGAGGGAGAAUGUUGGAUUCGUCUGACAUGAAACCGGCGCACGGGUGCGUAACACGUAUGCAACCUACCUUUAACUGGGGUAUAGCUCAGAGAAAUCUGAAUUAAUCCCCAUAAGACUACGACAUGGCAUCAUGAUGUAGUUAAAGCUCCGGCGGUUAAGGAUGGGCAUGCGGUACAUUAGCUAGUUGGUGAGGUAAUGGCUCACCAAGGCUACGAUGUAUAGGGGGUCUGAGAGGAUGAUCCCCAACACUGGUACUGAGACACGGACCAGACUCCUACGGGAGGCAGCAGUAGGGAAUAUUGGUCAAUGGACGCAAGUCUGAACCAGCCAUGCCGCGUGAAGGAUGAAGGCCCUAUGGGUCGUAAACUUCUUUUAUUAGGGAAGAAAAAACGGGAUGCGUCCUGUACUGACGGUACUUAAUGAAUAAGGAUCGGCUAACUUCGUGCCAGCCGCCGCGGUAA